CACUGCCGAGAAAAGCCUCUAGAUAGAAAAUAGGUGCCCGUACCGCAAACCGACACAGGUAGUCAAGAUGAGAAUUCUAAGGUGAGCGAGCGAACUCUCGUUAAGGAACUCGGCAAAAUGACCCCGUAACUUCGGGAGAAGGGGUGCUCUUUAGGGUUAACGCCCAGAAGAGCCGCAGUGAAUAGGCCCAAGCGACUGUUUAUCAAAAACACAGGUCUCUGCUAAACCGUAAGGUGAUGUAUAGGGGCUGACGCCUGCCCGGUGCUGGAAGGUUAAGAGGAGUGGUUAGCUUCUGCGAAGCUACGAAUCGAAGCCCCAGUAAACGGCGGCCGUAACUAUAACGGUCCUAAGGUAGCGAAAUUCCUUGUCGGGUAAGUUCCGACCCGCACGAAAGGCGUAACGAUUUGGGCACUGUCUCAACGAGAGACUCGGUGAAAUCAUAGUACCUGUGAAGAUGCAGGUUACCCGCGACAGGACGGAAAGACCCCGUGGAGCUUUACUGUAGCCUGAUAUUGAAAUUCGGCACAGCUUGUACAGGAUAGGUAGGAGCCUUUGAAACGUGAGCGCUAGCUUACGUGGAGGCGCUGGUGGGAUACUACCCUAGCUGUGUUGGCUUUCUAACCCGCACCACUUAUCGUGGUGGGAGACAGUGUCAGGCGGGCAGUUUGACUGGGGCGGUCGCCUCCUAAAAGGUAACGGAGGCGCUCAAAGGUUCCCUCAGAAUGGUUGGAAAUCAUUCAUAGAGUGUAAAGGCAUAAGGGAGCUUGACUGCGAGACCUACAAGUCGAGCAGGGUCGAAAGACGGACUUAGUGAUCCGGUGGUUCCGCAUGGAAGGGCCAUCGCUCAACGGAUAAAAGCUACCCCGGGGAUAACAGGCUUAUCUCCCCCAAGAGUUCACAUCGACGGGGAGGUUUGGCACCUCGAUGUCGGCUCAUCGCAUCCUGGGGCUGUAGUCGGUCCCAAGGGUUGGGCUGUUCGCCCAUUAAAGCGGUACGCGAGCUGGGUUCAGAAC
Molecule: ribosomal RNA, 1013 nt
Filed under: Staphylococcus aureus
Lineage: Bacteria; Bacillati; Bacillota; Bacilli; Caryophanales; Staphylococcaceae
Description: partial 23S ribosomal RNA
Rfam family: Bacterial large subunit ribosomal RNA
Source: RNAcentral